Lynx canadensis (Canada lynx) is the source of this 665-nucleotide long non-coding RNA. RefSeq lists it as uncharacterized. Lineage: Eukaryota; Metazoa; Chordata; Mammalia; Carnivora; Felidae. The record is from RefSeq and is a predicted model, not a curated record. The transcript has 3 exons.
GGGGCUCAUUCGGCUGUGCAGUCAUCCGCAUGGCAAAUAUUUAUUAGCAGGUCCCGAGGCGCUGGGUAACCUGAUCACGGCGGAAAGAGCCGCGACGCGGAAGUCUUCCGAUUGGUUUCCAGUUCCAGGAAGUUGCAGACUUCGGGCAAAUCGCGUCGCCUCUGGGACUGUUUCUAAUCAGAAGAAUGAAAGAAAAGGCCGAACCAACCCUUCAGGCACUUGUUGGGUUUGUCCAGAUUUACCUGACCUGCUUCCAAUGUUUGGCACAGAGUGUACAACGUCUUAAGAUGUCCAAAGUGCUUGUGGGUAACCAAGUGAUGUACUAAGAAGCCCCAUUCAAUGAGGUAGAAGGGAAUGAUGGGCACAUUGUUAUUGGGCUCCCCCCGCCUGUUUUUUUUUUUUUUCCGUUUUAGUUUCCAUGUACGUAUUCUCAACUUUUCAAAUAGAUUUUUAAAAACUUUAUUGAGCUAUCAUUGACAGUCAACAAAUUUCACAUACUGAAAGUGUGCAAUUUUGGUAAGUUUUGACACAUGUAUAUGCCUGUGAAACUAUCACACAAUCCAGAUGAUGAAUAUGUCCUUCCAAAGUUUCCUUGUGCCUCUUUAUCAUCCCAUCUACUCAGUGGACCCUGUCUCCAAGCAACAACCCAUUUGUCUUCUGUCACU